RNAcentral lists this ribosomal RNA (253 nucleotides) under uncultured bacterium. RNAcentral's name for it is "partial 16S ribosomal RNA". It matches the Rfam family "Bacterial small subunit ribosomal RNA", at positions 524 to 776 of the family's 1533-position model. The record is from RNAcentral.
UACGUAGGGUGCAAGCGUUAAUCGGAAUUACUGGGCGUAAAGCGUGCGCAGGCGGUUAUGCAAGAAAGAUGUGAAAUCCCCGGGCUCAACCUGGGAACUGCAUUUGUGACUGCAUGGCUGGAGUGCGGCAGAGGGGGAUGGAAUUCCGCGUGUAGCAGUGAAAUGCGUAGAUAUGCGGAGGAACACCGAUGGCGAAGGCAAUCCCCUGGGCCUGCACUGACGCUCAUGCACGAAAGCGUGGGGAGCAAACAGG